AAAAAGACAAACCCUGGGUUUCCAUGUCCAACGUUUGACUGUCCGUCUUAUAUGAAUUUUUUUUAUAAUUAGUAUUUUCAUUGUUGUUAGAUGAUAAAACAUGAUUAAUAUUUUAUGAAUGACUUAUCUUUUUAAUUUUUUUAAUAUUUUUUUUAAAUAAGACGGACGGUGGAAAAGAAAAAAAAAACUGGAGAAGCUGGUUCA
Oryza glumipatula is the source of this 204-nucleotide non-coding RNA. The record is from Rfam. Lineage: Eukaryota; Viridiplantae; Streptophyta; Magnoliopsida; Poales; Poaceae.